Molecule: unclassified non-coding RNA, 597 nt
Filed under: Sporothrix globosa
Lineage: Eukaryota; Fungi; Ascomycota; Sordariomycetes; Ophiostomatales; Ophiostomataceae
Description: sequence contains 18S rRNA gene, ITS1, 5.8S rRNA gene, ITS2, 28S rRNA gene
Rfam family: 5.8S ribosomal RNA (bases 194-347)
Source: RNAcentral
GGAAGUAAAAGUCGUAACAAGGUCUCCGUUGGUGAACCAGCGGAGGGAUCAUUACAGAGUUUUCACAACUCCCAACCCUUGCGAACCGUACCCAAUCUCGUUCUCGUUGCUUCUGGCGGGGGGGACGGGCCCUACGAACCUUUGUAUCUCAACCACUAGAAAACCGUCUGAGGAAAACAAACAAAAUAAUCAAAACUUUCAACAACGGAUCUCUUGGCUCUGGCAUCGAUGAAGAACGCAGCGAAAUGCGAUACGUAAUGUGAAUUGCAGAAUUCAGCGAACCAUCGAAUCUUUGAACGCACAUUGCGCCCGCCAGCAUUCUGGCGGGCAUGCCUGUCCGAGCGUCAUUUCCCCCCUCACGCGCCCCGUUGCGCGCUGGUGUUGGGGCGCCUCCGCCUGGCGGAGGCCCCCGAAAGCGAGUGGCGGGCCCUGUGGAUGGCUCCGAGCGCAGUACCGAACGCAACGUUCUCCCUCGCUCCGGACGCCCCCCAGGUGCCCUGCCGUGAAAACGCGCAUGACGUGCAACUCUUACCCAAGGUUGACCUCGGAUCAGGUAGGACUACCCGCUGAACCUAAGCAUAUCAAUAAAGCGGAGGA